GGAAGUAAAAGUCGUAACAAGGUCUCCGUAGGUGAACCUGCGGAGG
This 46-nucleotide ribosomal RNA is filed under the name fungal endophyte. RNAcentral describes it as "partial 18S ribosomal RNA". The record is from RNAcentral. Lineage: Eukaryota; Fungi.